This 885-nucleotide ribosomal RNA is filed under the name Triticum aestivum (bread wheat). RNAcentral describes it as "partial small subunit ribosomal RNA". The record is from RNAcentral. Lineage: Eukaryota; Viridiplantae; Streptophyta; Magnoliopsida; Poales; Poaceae.
AUGAUUGAGCAUGGGGUGGCAUACAGUGAUGGGCAUGACCCAGACAGGAAAUCAUUUUACAUUACCAUACCCAAUCUCGAUGUCCAGACUCCCACAUCGUUUUUCGCAGUGUACAAUGGCAGUGAAGCUUCUGGGAAAUUUUGCACAACAAAUAUUCACCAGGAGCUCCACAAACAUCAAGAGUUUGACACUAACUUGCGUCAGGCUUUGGAAGACACCUUGUACAGGAUUGACAGGCAAAUGAAAAUUACCUCAGCUGUGUAUGGCUGUGAGCACAUUGAUGAUCCUUCGGUUUAUAAGCAUUCAGGCUCUCUUCCGGUUAAGGAAAUCCCAUUCUGUGGAGGCAUUAGUGCAUCGAUAGCUCUGAUUAGAGGCGCAGAUAGCAUAAUUGCUACCAUUGGAUCCGCUCUAUGUUUCAUUUCAAAAGAUGGGAAGCCCAACCGUCUAGGCACUGGAAGCAACCGUGAAGAUAAUGUGAAGAAGAAUUGUGAUUCUGCUGACAAAUUUCCUCAUAUUCUCAUGGAAUCUAUGAAAGAUGCUGAUUUUGUGAUGAUGGCUUCUGGUUCUUUGAUGGAUCUAAUGCCAGUCCAACAACUUACUGAUUUUGUGACUGAGAGAAUAAACCUGAGGGUGAAUAUGGAUACAGUUUGCAAUGAUCUUCUUCACCACUGUGCAUCUGAAAUGGCUGACAAAGUGUCAAGCGACACAUGUGUUUUGAUACUUCGUUCGAAAGACCGAGAGGGAGAUGCUAAGGAAAAGACUGAUGGUGAUGCCGCUGUGCCCACAGAAAAGGAACAGGAUGACACUGAAGAAGGCUCAGAACUGGAAAUCGGAAAGUCCUAUUCAUGCUCCAAAAGCAGAUUUAUGCACGCGUUCGGGCCUUGA